This 853-nucleotide long non-coding RNA is filed under the name Monodelphis domestica (gray short-tailed opossum). RNAcentral describes it as "lncRNA (ENSMODG00000030190.2)". The record is from RNAcentral. Lineage: Eukaryota; Metazoa; Chordata; Mammalia; Didelphimorphia; Didelphidae.
GAUUUUAUACCAUGUUAUUUUUCUAUCUUGAUUUCCUUUUGUCCAGAAGGGAAACGGAGGCAAAGAACGGACAAAAUCAUUAAAAUCAGUUCCACACAAAAUCCAGAGGUCGCUGAGGCAAUAAAUAGCCUAGUAAAUCCAGGUCCUAACCCACUUUUACUGAAUAACCUGAGUAAUUAUCUCUGUUCUUUGCUUCUCUUUUCACAGCAAGCGCUAGGCAGGUGGCCAAACUUUUCCCUAGGCGGGAUCCCAUUACAGGGCACUGUGAAUACAGGUGUGAAGGACUCGGGCGCUGGGACAUAUUCCCACCCAGAGGAGUUUCUUUUCAAGGAGAGGUGGCUCUGGCGGCAGCUAUUUUCCAGUUUUGGCGGUGAGAGUCCUUGAUACACCACUGGGGAAGCUUAGUAAACUAGUUCAGGUGAGGCAUCUUCUCUGAGCUCUCUCGGAAUUUAGGCUGAUUCUUUUCCUCUUUACCUUCCAAAACACUAUCCUCUUAGGAAAGCCUCUAAUCUUCUGAAAAGACCUUGUGGCAGAGGUCUUUGAACUCCCCCUGUCACAGGCCAGAUGGGAGAAAUCCUAUACUCUUUCCCACUCUCUUCUCCUUAAUUCCUCCCUCUAUAUUAAUUAAACCACCAUAAAAUUUCCAAACUGACUUGGGUAUUUUAUUUGGGAUAUUCCCUUGUGACCAAUUAAAUUUAGAUUAAGGCACAAUCCUAAAAUUUCCCCUUACAGUACUAAUACACAGUAUUGAUUCUUAAACAGAGGGCAAGGGUUUAAAUUUUUUUUUUACAGUUGUUUGAGGCACUGCGAAGUGCCCAAUGUCCCACAGACAGUAUCUUUUAGAGAUAGUAUA